CUUAGGAACGCUGGUACGCGUAUGCCUUAGCGGUGCGCCCUUGAACGGCGAUGCGUUAAAACCCUCGCUGAAACCUCACUGAAACUCUCUCUCUCUAAUCGAAAUUAAAACCCUUGCUGAAACUCUCUCCCUCUCUAGCCUAAAUUGAAACCCUCGUUGAAACUCUCUCUCUCUCUAGCUCGCUGAAACUCUCUCUCUCACUGAAAGGGCUUUCUCGCUAGAACUCUCUUUCUCUAGCAAUAUUUUGGCGAAAGCCUCUCUAACAAAAAAAAGCCGACUCUCGUUAGUAAAAGGAAGCCAACUCUCGCUGAAAGCUGACACUGAAAGGAACUAGGUGCCCGCUCCGGAAACCUCAAGGAUGGAUACAUGUUUUCUGAAAAUGAUAGCACAACUGUACAUGUGAAAGUGUGAUAGCUAAGCAAGAGUGCGUAAAUCAAGUAAAUGAAUGUGGGGUACUAUUCGUACCGAGCAACCCUAACAAUUAGUGAAUACUAUGCAUGUUGGUGCCUAGUGAGGUGCAUCCUUGGUUAGAAACCAACUAAAGGUUCGGUUCAAGUGAAAGGCACACCUUAUGCAGGGCUGGGCGCACCUGGAGUCAAGUGUGGCUCUUCUCAAAGCACAAUUCAAAGUGGGGGGUAUAAGCCCUUUGUUCUAGGUCAACCAAGGGGGCAGAGGAAGAUGCAGGAAAGUAGUAAAGCUAUGCUACGAUGCAAAAAUAGAGUAGUCCGAGACGACUGAAGGCUGACGAAUAUGGCAAUGGCGCCAACAAAAGUAGCAAUGACAUCAAGAUCAAGACCACUAGAAACCCAACAGACAAUCCCAACUCUGACGUGGAUGCGGAGCUCGUCGGUGGCAGUGAGAAGGGCGUCAAGACACCCACCACUUCGAACGUACUGGAAGAAAUGGAGCAGGGCAGAGAAAGACCAGCGAUAGUGUCAAUGGCACCAAUGAGUGUUGCAGUUCCAUUGUCUCAAAAUCUCCCAAACUCCAAACAAAAGGAAGAGAGGAGCCCCGGGAGGCAACGAUGGUUUUUUGGGGGCUCAGGAGAAUGGCACUAUUGCUGGUUGCAGUACUGCAACUAUCAAUGGCGUCCUGACCUUGGUUUCCAGAGAACCCAGGAGCAGGGGUUGAAGUAGCCAGGCGUGACUGAAAAUGGCAUCAACACCUUUCCAUGUGGUGUUUGCUCGUAUUAAACCCCAAAAGCAGUGAAAAGAGGCUUGGAGCGAGCCAAGACGAACUCCGAGUUGAUGGUGGCCCAUUGGUCACUUCAACGACUAAGGUGUAUUGGAAGCUUGAUGGGCCCCAUUGUGGGCGUCAUGUUGUUUAUAUUAAAAAAUACGAGCAAUGAACGUGAUCCUCACCUUGGUUUAAGGUGUAAA
This is a long non-coding RNA of Amborella trichopoda, 1379 nucleotides long. RefSeq lists it as uncharacterized. The record is from RefSeq and is a predicted model, not a curated record. Lineage: Eukaryota; Viridiplantae; Streptophyta; Magnoliopsida; Amborellales; Amborellaceae.